UGGAUAUGAUGAAGUG
This 16-nucleotide small RNA is filed under the name Arabidopsis thaliana (thale cress). RNAcentral's name for it is "ATSL145030". Lineage: Eukaryota; Viridiplantae; Streptophyta; Magnoliopsida; Brassicales; Brassicaceae. The record is from RNAcentral.